CCAGGCCCCUCCUUUGCGGCUGCUGUGGGGACUUUCGAGAGCAGAGCACACCCCUAAGUGCGUGGAGAGGAGGGAAGCUGAGGCUCAGAGACAUCAUGAGGAUGCCAGCUCAAGGCCCAGCCAGGCCUUGGUCCUCAGCUGCUGUCAUCCAGUAGGGUAAGUGGGACCCCCAGGAGGUGUUGGGGGACACUCCUCCCCUCCCCCACACUCACAGUCUGUUCACCGCCCAAGGCAGCAGGCUGGACUCGGUGCAGGGACCAUGGCUUGGCGUGGCCAGGUUGGAGUGGCCCCUGGGACUGAAAGCAGGGGGCGUGGGGGCUCUGAGGCGGGGCCGAGUGCGGGGACGUCCUGUGGCGGGUACCCUGCUGGGUCCUGGGUGGGGGCCACCACCAGGCAGCUGUGGGAACAUUCCAGACCACCUAGGAGUAGGGCCCCUUCACCGUUUGAAGCUGACUGUAAAAAACAUCUGACCUGUGUGCAAAGCUCAAGCCCAGAGGCCUCCAGGGUGUCCAGCCUCCAGGGUGCCUCCUACGCAGCCUCCACGUCCCCAUCCACUGCAGCCCCUGACCAUCGGGCACACCGUGGGGCCUUCGCUGGCCGCCGGGCCUCAGGUUCUGCUGCACCAAGUGAUUUUUAAAGCCCCAUCUGCCUUUCUCCACUUAUAAAGAACUUG
RNAcentral lists this long non-coding RNA (673 nucleotides) under Homo sapiens (human). RNAcentral's name for it is "non-protein coding NALT1:7". The record is from RNAcentral. Lineage: Eukaryota; Metazoa; Chordata; Mammalia; Primates; Hominidae.